CACUGCACUCCAGGCUGGGUGACAGCGAGACCCUGUCUCAAAAAAUAAAUAUUUGAGCUGUGGGCAGUGAGGUCUUGAAUGGUAAAGUCAUGCUUCCAAGACGACAGGUCCCACUUGGGGAGGGCUCCAGGGUAGCUUCUCUUACCUCCUCCCCACUCCAGGCCCAAGGAGAGGCCAUGAGGGCAGUGCUGAUCCCAAUUCGAGAGGUUCUGACCCCAGAAUCGGACAUCUCCAUUGCACAUGUCCUGGCUGCCCGAGCCGACGUGUCUCGUCUCGUCCCAGCCACCAGCGUGGCUGUCCGCAGAGGGACCUGCUGUGCCAUCAACAAGGUGCUUAUGGGCAAUGUUCCAGACCGGGGAGGCCGCCCAAAUGAGCUGGAGCCUCCCAUGCCCACCUGGAGGAGCCGAAGAGAGGAUGGAGGCCCCCAGUGUUGGGGCCGCAAGAAGAAGAAGAAGAAGAAGUAAAGGGGGACUGGUGGUCGGGGGCGGGGGGUCCUCCAUGAGAUGCUAAUGCCAUCGGUAAUCUCUGGGGAGUCCGUUUAAGGCUUUCCUUGGUAUUUGGCACCCAAGGCCCCCAUCUCCUAUUCCUGAGGCCCCAAAUGCCCUACUCCCAUUCCCCAGUCAAUACCAAGAACCAUGUUCUCCAGAGAAUAAAUUUAAUUUAUGACAGC
RNAcentral lists this small RNA (670 nucleotides) under Pongo abelii (Sumatran orangutan). RNAcentral's name for it is "retained intron". Lineage: Eukaryota; Metazoa; Chordata; Mammalia; Primates; Hominidae. The record is from RNAcentral.